GACGAACGCUGGCGGCGCGCCUAACACAUGCCAGUCGAACGGAGCUGCGAGAAGCUUGCUUUUCUUAGCUUAGUGGCGAACGGGUGAGUAACGCGUGAGUAACCUGCCCUGGAGUGGGGGACAACAGUUGGAAACGACUGCUAAUACCGCAUAAGCCCACGAUCCGGCAUCGGAUUGAGGGAAAAGGAUUUAUUCGCUUCAGGAUGGACUCGCGUCCAAUUAGCUAGUUGGUGAGGUAACGGCCCACCAAGGCGACGAUUGGUAGCCGGACUGAGAGGUUGAACGGCCACAUUGGGAAUGAGACACGGCCCAGACUCCUACGGGAGGAAGCAGUGGGGGAUAUUGCACAAUGGGGGAAACCCUGAUGCAGCGACGCCGCGUGGAGGAAGAAGGUUUUCGGAUUGUAAACUCCUGUCGUUAGGGACGAUAAUGACGGUACCUAACAAGAAAGCACCGGCUAACUACGUG
RNAcentral lists this ribosomal RNA (468 nucleotides) under uncultured bacterium. Its description in RNAcentral is "partial 16S ribosomal RNA". It matches the Rfam family "Bacterial small subunit ribosomal RNA", at positions 28 to 507 of the family's 1533-position model. The record is from RNAcentral.